CCUACGGGUGGCAGCAGUGAGGAAUAUUGGUCAAUGGACGAGAGUCUGAACCAGCCAAGUAGCGUGAAGGAUGACUGCCCUAUGGGUUGUAAACUUCUUUUAUAUGGGAAUAAAACGUUCCACGUGUGGGAUUUUGUAUGUACCAUAUGAAUAAGGAUCGGCUAACGCCGUGCCAGCAGCCGCGGUAAUACGGAGGAUCCGAGCGUUAUCCGGAUUUAUUGGGUUUAAAGGGAGCGUAGGUGGAUUGUUAAGUCAGUUGUGAAAGUUUGCGGCUCAACCGUAAAAUUGCAGUUGAAACUGGCAGUCUUGAGUACAGUAGAGGUGGGCGGAAUUCGUGGUGUAGCGGUGAAAUGCUUAGAUAUCACGAAGAACUCCGAUUGCGAAGGCAGUUCACUGGACUGCAACUGACACUGAGGCUCGAAAGUGUGGGUAUCAAACAGGAUUAGAUACCCCUGUAGUC
This 460-nucleotide ribosomal RNA is filed under the name uncultured bacterium. RNAcentral describes it as "partial 16S ribosomal RNA". It matches the Rfam family "Bacterial small subunit ribosomal RNA", at positions 338 to 795 of the family's 1533-position model. The record is from RNAcentral.